GAUGAACGCUGGCGGCGUGCCUAAUACAUGCAAGUCGAGCGAACGGACGAGAAGCUUGCUUCUCUGAUGUUAGCGGCGGACGGGUGAGUAACACGUGGAUAACCUACCUAUAAGACUGGGAUAACUUCGGGAAACCGUAGCUAAUACCGGAUAAUAUUUUGAACCGCAUGGUUCAAAAGUGAAAGACGGUCUUGCUGUCACUUAUAGAUGGAUCCGCGCUGCAUUAGCUAGUUGGUAAGGUAACGGCUUACCAAGGCAACGAUGCAUAGCCGACCUGAGAGGGUGAUCGGCCACACUGGAACUGAGACACGGUCCAGACUCCUACGGGAGGCAGCAGUAGGGAAUCUUCCGCAAUGGGCGAAAGCCUGACGGAGCAACGCCGCGUGAGUGAUGAAGGUCUUCGGAUCGUAAAACUCUGUUAUUAGGGAAGAACAUAUGUGUAAGUACCUGUGCACAUCUUGACGGUACCUAAUCAGAAAGCCACGGCUAACUACGUG
RNAcentral lists this ribosomal RNA (497 nucleotides) under uncultured bacterium. RNAcentral describes it as "partial 16S ribosomal RNA". It matches the Rfam family "Bacterial small subunit ribosomal RNA", at positions 28 to 507 of the family's 1533-position model. The record is from RNAcentral.